Long non-coding RNA from Mangifera indica (mango), 416 nucleotides. RefSeq lists it as uncharacterized. The record is from RefSeq and is a predicted model, not a curated record. Lineage: Eukaryota; Viridiplantae; Streptophyta; Magnoliopsida; Sapindales; Anacardiaceae. The transcript is spliced from 2 exons.
UCAAAAGCUUCUCGAUGAUGUCCACAUGAGUCAUCAGCAUUCGCCUACAGCAAUAACGAACCAGACCUAUUGCAUCAGGCGCAUCUCUGCAUACAACAAGAAGUUAGCCCGAAAACCAAUCACAAACCGCUCGCCUAAGAGAAAGACAAAAAAGGCUGCAGGAAGAGGCUUUUUAGAAAUAUUGCACAAGCAAACACAGCACAAAAGCAAAGAACUGGAGCUCCAAGGCGGUUGGUGGUGUAGCAUGGGGGCCUCACUUCACCACAAGAAAAUUGUCCUCAUCAAGAUCAUAAUGCAAGAAAUUUCAUUGGAGUUGAUUGACUUUAGAAUAAAUUUUAACACACAGGAAUCAAUAUUUGACAGCUAAAAAUUUCAGUGGAAACUAACGAAAUUAUAUAUAUUUGCAUUUCCGGUUA